ACUGCAGUGGUGUAGUGGUUAACGCUUCAGGCUUUAAUCUUUGGAGGGUCUCAGGUUCGAUCCCUGGCGUCUGUU
RNAcentral lists this transfer RNA (75 nucleotides) under Meloidogyne enterolobii. Its description in RNAcentral is "tRNA-Pseudo". The record is from RNAcentral. Lineage: Eukaryota; Metazoa; Nematoda; Chromadorea; Rhabditida; Meloidogynidae.